UGCAGUCGAGCGAACUGAUUAGAAGCUUGCUUCUAUGACGUUAGCGGCGGACGGGUGAGUAACACGUGGGCAACCUGCCUGUAAGACUGGGAUAACUUCGGGAAACCGAAGCUAAUACCGGAUAGGAUCUUCUCCUUCAUGGGAGAUGAUUGAAAGAUGGUUUCGGCUAUCACUUACAGAUGGGCCCGCGGUGCAUUAGCUAGUUGGUGAGGUAACGGCUCACCAAGGCAACGAUGCAUAGCCGACCUGAGAGGGUGAUCGGCCACACUGGGACUGAGACACGGCCCAGACUCCUACGGGAGGCAGCAGUAGGGAAUCUUCCGCAAUGGACGAAAGUCUGACGGAGCAACGCCGCGUGAGUGAUGAAGGCUUUCGGGUCGUAAAACUCUGUUGUUAGGGAAGAACAAGUACGAGAGUAACUGCUCGUACCUUGACCGUACCUAACCAGAAAGCCACGGCUAACUACGUGCCAGCAGCCGCGGUUAUACGUAGGUGGCAAGCGUUAUCCGGGAUUAUUGGGCGUAAAGCGGGCCCCAGGCCGUUUCUUAAGUCUUAUGUGGAAGCCCACGGCUCCCCCGGGGGAAGGGCCUUUGGAAACUGGGGAAAUUGAAUUCCGGAGA
This 620-nucleotide ribosomal RNA is filed under the name Priestia megaterium. RNAcentral's name for it is "bacterial SSU rRNA". It matches the Rfam family "Bacterial small subunit ribosomal RNA", at positions 56 to 655 of the family's 1533-position model. Lineage: Bacteria; Bacillati; Bacillota; Bacilli; Caryophanales; Bacillaceae. The record is from RNAcentral.